Molecule: ribosomal RNA, 421 nt
Filed under: uncultured bacterium
Lineage: Bacteria
Description: bacterial SSU rRNA
Rfam family: Bacterial small subunit ribosomal RNA
Source: RNAcentral
AGCCUGACGCAGCGACGCCGCGUGGGUGAUGAAGGUCCUCGGGUCGUAAACCCCUUUCGACUGGGACGAAUGUCCCCCUCUGUAGGUCUGACGAGUGUGAUAGUACAAGCCCCGGAUACCUACGUUACCUCCGCGGCGGCAGCAGCUAGGGGGCCGAGGGUGUUAGGGUUUUUUGGAAGUAUUGGGUUCAUAGGCGGUGCAGCCAGCCGGUCAAGUCUUAUCUGGCCUUAACCCCUAUACUGCUUCAAAGACUGCUGAGCUCGAGUGGGUUGAAGGCGGGAGAAGAUACCGGAGUUUCGGGGGAAUACGUAAAAUUCUGCAAGAACCCCAGUGGCGAAGGCGGCGCGCUGGACUUUCUGUGCCGAUGAUGAACCUAAGAUACGAAAGCAUGGGGGACAAAAUACCNUGGUUACCGUGAUAG